UUCUGUUACUGGGCGCUGCUGUCGAGUGUGUCUUCCGAACUCGAACCGAAUCAUCAAAAUGGAGAAAAAGGUCGACGAGAAUGCCACCCUUAUGAACGGGGUGGAAACCACUGGACCGGCCCGUGAUGAUGUGCCGGAAACGUUCAGAGAAUUUCUCUACAACAAGAAAAAUGGAACCGUUAUGGGUAGAACCGGAAAGUCUUGGUUCCAGAUCAUCGUCUUCUACAUCAUCUUCUACGCAUUCUUGGCCGCCUUCUGGUUGACAUGCUUGACCAUCUUCAUGAAGACACUUGAUCCAAAAGUACCAAGAUUCUAUGGAAAAGGAACCAUCAUUGGAGUGAAUCCAGGAGUCGGAUAUCAGCCAUGGUUGAAGGAACGGCCAGAUUCGACACUGAUAAAAUACAAUCUCCGUGAUCAAAAAUCAUACAAAGCAUAUUUGGAACAGAUGAAGACGUAUUUGACGAAAUACGAUUCAAAUGCCACUGAGACUCGUGAGUGUGGAGCCGGAGAUAGCAAUGAUGAUCUUGAGAAAAAUCCAGAUGCUCUUCCUUGCCGUUUCGAUCUCUCAGUUUUCGAUAAAGGUUGUAGUGAGAAAUCCGAUUUCGGAUACAAGUCUGGAAAGCCAUGCGUCAUUAUUUCUUUGAAUCGUCUCAUCGGAUGGCGUCCAACUGAUUAUCAAGAGAAUUCCGUGCCAGAAGAAGUAAAAGACCGUUACAAGGCUGGAUCGAUUGCUAUAAAUUGCCGAGGAGCUACAAAUGUCGAUCAGGAACACAUUGGAAAAGUUACCUACAUGCCAUCAAAUGGAAUUGACGGACGCUAUUAUCCAUACGUUUUCACCAAGGGAUACCAACAACCAAUCGCAAUGGUCAAAUUCGACACAAUUCCACGAAAUAAGCUGGUGAUUGUUGAAUGCCGUGCAUAUGCUCUCAACAUCGAACACGACAUCUCCUCUCGACUCGGAAUGGUGUACUUUGAAGUGAUGGUUGAAGACAAGCCAGUUGAAGAGAAGAAAGAGUUGUAGAGUUAUUGUCAGAGCAGUGUACAAUCGCUAGGAUCUAAGUGCAUCUAUCUCAAUUACUUUCCAAUUAUCUCGUAGAAGUUAUUAGCUACUGUAGUUUGAACGAUAUCUGAAACCAACACCCCUCAGCAACAGCUUCAAUUUUAAAUCUUUAAUUUUUGCAGGAAUGCUCAUUUUUUGUUUUUCUUUACAUCCUCAGUUCUUUUAGUAUUGAAUCAUGUUUUUAUAUUCAGAAAUAAUCUAGUACUAUAAUCGCCUUAAGGAUAUGAUUUGAUAAUAAUAUGUGAAAUUUGCAAUCAAUUUUUGCUUAAUAAUCACAAUUUCCUUUUCAACUUAGUUCCACUGUCUUUUCGUUGAGCACUCUUUUCAGCUGCUCAGCGAAUUUCUUCUUCUCUCCGACGAGGCAGGUCUCUUCUCAUUUUGUCUUACUUUCUUUGUUUCCCAUUGCAUAGGUUUUCGGUGUGGAUGAGAUUGGCGUGGAGAUUGGUAUCCAUUUUUCGGAGACCACGCCUCUCUCCACGAUCGUUUUAUAUUAUCCCUUAUAAUUUUUUAAUUGUUUUAUUUCCAUUUUUGUUCAGUUCAAACUUUAAUUUUUGCCACAUGGAAUAUUAAAUAUUUUUCAAAAGAUUUUGAAAAAAAUCAUUAUUCCAUUUGCCAAAUUUUAAAGUUUAACUUCAAUGCUCACAGUAUCAGUUUUCAGCAUUUUUCCUUUUGAAACAUGCGUUUUACUGUGGGCUCUUCUCGAAUUUUUCUCGAGAAUUCUUUCCCACCAUCAUAUUAUCUCCUCUUCUCUCUUCCCCGCUGAAAAAAGAUUUCCAUCCCCUCUUCCCAUUCUUUCUAGGAUAAAACAAAUCAUUCGAAUGAUUUAUGAACAUUUUCUUUUUCUUAUCCCUCGCAUAUUGCUUUCAAAUUUCCUAUUUUCUCUUCGAUUUUUGUCAUCUACCUAAAUUGUCAAAAACCAGUACCCCCAUCACCAUCGCCACUUUCCCCCACCCAACUCGAUUUUUAUCGCAUUUUUUUUCGUUCCCAUCCCCCACUCACCCCGAUUUUUGUGUCUUCGAAUAAA
This 2084-nucleotide unclassified non-coding RNA is filed under the name Caenorhabditis elegans. RNAcentral describes it as "Non-coding transcript of protein-coding gene nkb-1". The record is from RNAcentral. Lineage: Eukaryota; Metazoa; Nematoda; Chromadorea; Rhabditida; Rhabditidae.